AUACGGAGGGUGCGAGCGUUAUCCGGAUUUAUUAGGUUUAAAGGGUGUGUAGGCGGUAUUUUAAGUCAGUGGUGAAAUCUUUCAGCUUAACUGAGAAACUGCCAUUGAUACUGGAAUACUUGAGUAUAGUUGAGGUAGGCGGAAUAUGUAAUGUAGCGGUGAAAUGCAUAGAUAUUACAUAGAACACCGAUUGCGAAGGCAGCUUACUAAACUAUUACUGACGCUGAUGCACGAAAGCGUGGGGAGCGAACAGGAUUAGAAACCCUAGUAGUCC
RNAcentral lists this ribosomal RNA (274 nucleotides) under uncultured bacterium. RNAcentral describes it as "partial 16S ribosomal RNA". It matches the Rfam family "Bacterial small subunit ribosomal RNA", at positions 523 to 796 of the family's 1533-position model. The record is from RNAcentral.